AUGGUUCAAGAAAGGUGUACUGAAAUAAAAUCAUAAACUAUUCUUUAUAUCUCGCGAAAUCAUGAAAUUCCUAAGUCGUCUGAUGACGUGUCGAGGCUGACUACGUCACAUCGACGCUUGCAGCUGUGAUCAGAAUAAACAUGUGGACUUCAGUGAUAUAUCUCGGAAUUUAACUCGUUUACAACCAGCGUGGACAGAAAUCGGCAUAGGAUUCAACUGAACAAGGGUUACUUAGGCAGUAGAUGGUCCACUGAAAACACUUAAUUCUUGGGAUGUUGAUAAAAAGUAUUGGUUUUCUUAUCAACUGGACUACCUCCUAAUAUCAAAAAGACAGAAGAGAAGAACAUGUAGUGUGCAAGAAGAAUUGUCAAUUUCCAUAAAUUACACAUUAUGACAGAAA
This is a long non-coding RNA of Magallana angulata, 400 nucleotides long. RefSeq lists it as uncharacterized. The record is from RefSeq and is a predicted model, not a curated record. Lineage: Eukaryota; Metazoa; Mollusca; Bivalvia; Ostreida; Ostreidae. The transcript has 3 exons.